Mercenaria mercenaria is the source of this 635-nucleotide long non-coding RNA. RefSeq lists it as uncharacterized. NCBI's taxonomy places the organism in Eukaryota, Metazoa, Mollusca, Bivalvia, Venerida, Veneridae. The record is from RefSeq and is a predicted model, not a curated record. The transcript has 3 exons.
UAGAGCAAUCAAUAAUUAAACACAUGCAUUACAAAGGUUAUGAUUCGCACCGAUAACAGUCGUUGGUCAUGUUGCGACUUGUGUUCAAAAUCGAAAGAUAAGUUUUGUUUUUGUAAAACAGGAUGUGAUUCAAUAUAACUAACAUUGAAAGAAAUAUAUUUUGCUUCCGGCUACAAGUAUACCUGAGAGAGGAGAGCAAUGUGAUGAGCACAAAUGGCGGACAAAGACGAAACACCCGAACAUUUGAAACAGAAACUAACUAAUAUUACCAACGAUCUUCAAGCUGCUAUAAAAACAAUUGAUACAUACACCGAAGAACAACAAGUAGCAGAACGAAAUAGAAACGAACUUGAAGACUCGAAAAAGAAAAUCCUAGUCCUUCGAAGGCAAUUGGCUGAAAUUGAAGCUAUAUGUGAACACCAUCAAUUUACAAACGACUCGUUGCUGAGAAAAAAAUCGACAGAGAGAAGCAAUAAUAGAUAAACAAAACAAGAAACUUCAGAUGAAUGAGAGAUUCAUUAAACAGCGAGAUAUAAGAAUAACAGAACUUGGAAAGGUUAUAGAACAUAUUACACUGAACACAACUGAUGAAAGUACCCUUAACGACAUGCAACUCAAAGAGAAGAAGACUACAG